ACUGAGUAAAGGAACUAAAACUAAAAACUUGCUUGGCAAAAUUGCCUUCUAAACCAGUGUUAGUGUUGGGAUUUUCAUUGUUUGAAUUGUGUUGGGUUAAUAAGAAGAUCAAGUCCUUGUUCCAUAAAAUGGAAGAAGAAACGGAGGAAGUGUGCUUAUGGGGGCGGCAAUGGUAAAGGCGAGAGAGAAAACGAUAUGACGUUUGCAUUAAAAACAAGGAAACAUAAAGGUUAAUAGGAUUUUCAAUGGCUGUAUGUUGCUCUUCAAAUUUCAAAAUUCCUUGGACAAAGAAACAAUUUCAUUCAAUGGGUAUAGAAAUUUCAGGGUUUUUGGGAGAGAGAACGAGAGAUGCUAAACUAAUAAAUGAUUUGUCAUGGGUAGGAGGCAGAACCUGGUAACACUCUCUCUCUCUCUCUCAAGCCCACCCAGCGUUUG
RNAcentral lists this unclassified non-coding RNA (435 nucleotides) under Hevea brasiliensis (rubber tree). Lineage: Eukaryota; Viridiplantae; Streptophyta; Magnoliopsida; Malpighiales; Euphorbiaceae. The record is from RNAcentral.